AGCAGCCGCGGUAAUUCCAGCUCCAAUAGCGUAUAUUAAAGUUGUUGCAGUUAAAAAGCUCGUAGUUGAAUUUCGGGAUCAAGGAAUCGGUCAUGCCUUGGUAUGUACUGGUUUUAUUGGUUCUCACCUUCUAAAGAACCAUGAUGUCAUUCAUUUGAUGUUAUGGGGAAUUAGGACUGUUACCUUGAAAAAAUUAGAGUGUUUAAAGCAAGCUUACGCUUGAAUACAUUAGCAUGGAAUAAUGAAAUAGGACAUCAGAUUCUAUUUUGUUGGUUUCUAGGAUCGAUGUAAUGAUUAAUAGGGAUAGUUGGGGGCAUUAGUAUUCAAUUGUCAGAGGUGAAAUUCUUGGAUUUAUUGAAGACUAACUACUGCGAAAGCAUUUGCCAAGGAUGUUUUCAUUAAUCAAGAACGAAAGUUAGGGGAUCGAAGACGAUCAGAUACCGUCGUAGUCUUAACCAUAAACUAUGCCGACUAGGGAUCGGAUGAUGUUAAUUUUUUAAUGACUCA
RNAcentral lists this ribosomal RNA (507 nucleotides) under uncultured Glomus. Its description in RNAcentral is "SSU rRNA". It matches the Rfam family "Eukaryotic small subunit ribosomal RNA", at positions 569 to 1078 of the family's 1831-position model. The record is from RNAcentral. Lineage: Eukaryota; Fungi; Glomeromycota; Glomeromycetes; Glomerales; Glomeraceae.